Molecule: long non-coding RNA, 939 nt
Filed under: Equus caballus (horse)
Lineage: Eukaryota; Metazoa; Chordata; Mammalia; Perissodactyla; Equidae
Description: lncRNA (ENSECAG00000041421.2)
Source: RNAcentral
GUCAAAGUGUAAGUUGCAAACCACUCUAACAGAGAAGAGGGUCUGGAGUGAUGCCUGCCACAGAAGAUUCUGCCCACCGAUCAAGAUUCCUGCCAGAAGAGUCAUUUAUCAGCCCUGCCAAGCUCCAAGGCAGCUCGACGGGGAGACAGCCAGCAGUAAUCCCACAGACGGCCAGCCAUCUACGAGUGAUUGUUAACAUGAGCCAGGAAACACACAGGAUUGUGCAAAGGUAACCAUUACGGUGGAUCUGCCGUGUGUCCUUCUAGUCCUUCAGCCUUUACUUGUACCACUUGCAUAGACAUCCAGAAACAGUAAGAUAUCUACAACAGAGGACCCACGUUGGCUUCCCUGGGCACACCAGUCUUCCUGUGGCGGCCUGGACAGCAACUUUUUCACUCUGAUUCUGAAAGAACACAGCAAAGCUCCCUGGCUGCCAAUCAUUUGCGCUACUGGAAGCUGAGAAGAAAAUGCUCAUCAAGAAAAAAAUAGGGCAAGAGGAAAGAGUUUACUUCUGCUCCGCCAUCCUUCUAUCUAUCCACGAAACAACUAAUUUUACCAGUAUUGACAUCGCUGUCCACUCAGUGGGCAUUUAUAUCAUACAAAGCACAUGGCAUUUUUGUCUGUAAACAGUAGCCUUUGUGAAAUUUACAACUACGCUGACGGAAACCCCGUGUGAGCCUAUACCCAUUUCACAAAUGAAUAAACAAGGUUCCAAAGAUUAGGCGACAAAUCAGGGCUCCUAGAUUUGGGGAUUUCACAUAUCAGUAAAAAAAAAAAAUGUAAUAGUGAGACAGGCAGAUUUAUUUUGUCCAUUGACAUUUUUAAAUACCACCUACUAUCACCAUUAUUUAAAAACAAAAGAAAAAGGAUACCUUAACAACAACAACAAAAAGAAAAUAAAGACCCUUAUCUCAAAAUAAAGUCCUUAAAAUUGAAUAA